UUCUAUUAGAUAUAAUUAAUAGUAUAAUCUGCUCAAUGAAAUUAAAUAGCCGCAAUUCUGUGCUAAGGUAGCAUAAUCAUUUGUCUUUUAAUUGAAGACUAGAACAAAAGAUUGAACAUUUUAAUUUAUUUAUUUUUUAAAAUAAUAAAAAUUAUUUUAAAUGUAAAAAAACAUUUAUUAAAAAGAAAGACGACAAGACCCUAUUGAACUUAACUUAAGUUAAACUGGGGCAGUUAAUUAAUUAAUAUUUUAAAUAAAAUAAUUUAAAAAAAUGACCUAAUACAAUUAAUUUUAUGAAAAAGUUACCAUAGGGAUAACAGCGUAAUAAUAAUUUAAAGCUCUUAUUAAAAUAAAUUUUUGCGACCUCGAUGUUGAAUUAAUUACCUAAUAAAUAACGCAAUAGUUAAUAAAGGAAGUCUGUUCGACUUUUAAAAAAUUACGUGAUCUGAGUUCA
Molecule: ribosomal RNA, 454 nt
Filed under: Hibana sp. BOLD:AAN6306
Lineage: Eukaryota; Metazoa; Arthropoda; Arachnida; Araneae; Anyphaenidae
Description: partial 16S ribosomal RNA
Source: RNAcentral